GACGAACGCUGGCGGCGUGCUUAGCACAUGCAAGUCGAACGGAAAGGCCCUGCUUUUGUGGGGUGCUCGAGUGGCGAACGGGUGAGUAACACGUGAGUAACCUGCCCUUGACUUUGGGAUAACUUCAGGAAACUGGGGCUAAUACCGGAUAGGAGCUCCUGCUGCAUGGUGGGGGUUGGAAAGUUUCGGCGGUUGGGGAUGGACUCGCGGCUUAUCAGUUUGUUGGUGGGGUAGUGGCUUACCAAGGCUUUGACGGGUAGCCGGCCUGAGAGGGUGACCGGCCACAUUGGGACUGAGAUACGGCCCAGACUCCUACGGGAGGCAGCAGUGGGGAAUAUUGCACAAUGGGCGGAAGCCUGAUGCAGCAACGCCGCGUGCGGGAUGACGGCCUUCGGGUUGUAAACCGCUUUCGCCUGUGACGAAGCGUGAGUGACGGUAAUGGGUAAAGAAGCACCGGCUAACUACGUG
This 468-nucleotide ribosomal RNA is filed under the name uncultured bacterium. Its description in RNAcentral is "partial 16S ribosomal RNA". It matches the Rfam family "Bacterial small subunit ribosomal RNA", at positions 28 to 507 of the family's 1533-position model. The record is from RNAcentral.